Molecule: ribosomal RNA, 259 nt
Filed under: uncultured Pseudomonadales bacterium
Lineage: Bacteria; Pseudomonadati; Pseudomonadota; Gammaproteobacteria; Pseudomonadales
Description: partial 16S ribosomal RNA
Rfam family: Bacterial small subunit ribosomal RNA
Source: RNAcentral
UACGAAGGGUGCAAGCGUUAAUCGGAAUUACUGGGCGUAAAGCGCGCGUAGGUGGUUUGUUAAGUUGGAUGUGAAAGCCCCGGGCUCAACCUGGGAACUGCAUCCAAAACUGGCAAGCUAGAGUAUGGCAGAGGGUGGUGGAAUUUCCUGUGUAGCGGUGAAAUGCGUAGAUAUAGGAAGGAACACCAGUGGCGAAGGCGACCACCUGGGCUAAUACUGACACUGAGGUGCGAAAGCGUGGGGAGCAAACAGGAUUAGA